CACUCGAUAAGACAAGCUGCCAUGUUGGAAAGGACUACAUGGGAAGGAACUGAAGGUGGUCUCUGGGCCAACAGCCAGCAAGGAACUGAGGCCCUCAACCCAACAAUCCUCAAGGAACAAAAUCUUGUCAACAAUACACGAACGAAUGUGGUGGUAGAUUCUUUCUCAGUUGGGCCUUCAGGAACAAUCUUUUGAAAAUCUCCUUGGAAGGCACAUCCAGCUCAAAGAUGACCAUGGGAAUGAUUGACCUAGAUUCCAGGAGGCUGAUUUGAUACUUAGUUACAGGA
Prionailurus viverrinus (fishing cat) is the source of this 287-nucleotide long non-coding RNA. RefSeq lists it as uncharacterized. The record is from RefSeq and is a predicted model, not a curated record. NCBI's taxonomy places the organism in Eukaryota, Metazoa, Chordata, Mammalia, Carnivora, Felidae. The transcript has 2 exons.